This 482-nucleotide ribosomal RNA is filed under the name uncultured bacterium. RNAcentral describes it as "partial 16S ribosomal RNA". It matches the Rfam family "Bacterial small subunit ribosomal RNA", at positions 30 to 507 of the family's 1533-position model. The record is from RNAcentral.
AUUGAACGCUGGCGGCAUGCCUUACACAUGCCAGUCGAACGGUAACAGGUCUUCGGAUGCUGACGAGUGGCGAACGGGUGAGUAAUACAUCGGAACGUGCCCGAUCGUGGGGGAUAACGAGGCGAAAGCUUUGCUAAUACCGCAUACGAUCUACGGAUGACAGCGGGGGAUCUUCGGACCUCGCGCGGACGGAGCGGCCGAUGGCAGAUUAGGUAGUUGGUGGGAUAAAAGCUUACCAAGCCGACGAUCUGUAGCUGGUCUGAGAGGAUGAUCAGCCACACUGGGACUGAGACACGGCCCAGACUCCUACGGGAGGCAGCAGUGGGGAAUUUUGGACAAUAGGCGAAAGCCUGAUCCAGCCAUGCCGCGUGCAGGAUGAAGGCCUUCGGGUUGUAAACUGCUUUUGUACGGAACGAAAAGCCUCUUUCUAAUAAAGAGGGGUCAUGACGGUACCGUAAGAAUAAGCACCGGCUAACUACGUG